AAAAGGAGGCGGUUGAUUGAUAAACAGCCCAUUGGCAGUAGUGCAGGUGAUUCGAGUGGGAGCCAUGAUCUUGAAACACAACUCAAGCUUUAUGGUACGGGUUUCAAAGAACUCAAGUGGGUUUUUCUUUUCUUUUCCUUUUUUUUCCACUUUUCUUUCUGGAAGACUUUGAAAUGGCAUUCGGAGUACUCCUGCAGGAGGCUCUCUGAACCAGGCCUUAAUUAGACCUGCUAGGCAAUGAACAUCAAUGUCAUCAGUGUCAAUUGAUUUCUUUGCAUUCUUUGCAAUUGCCAAUGUAUAAUUUUACAUCACAAGUGUUGAAUGAACAUCUGGCUAUGGGGAAGGUGGAUGAGUUGCAUCCUGACUUGACAGUAGACACUCUUGGAAUCUUGCAUCCUGCAAACAAAUUAAUUCAUCAACUUCCAAUGGUCAGUGCAUACUCAUCCUUUGUAAGGAUGGUGGGAGUUGGAAUUGGUUUGGAGCAACAAAGAAGGAAAAU
Long non-coding RNA from Magnolia sinica, 499 nucleotides. RefSeq lists it as uncharacterized. The record is from RefSeq and is a predicted model, not a curated record. The transcript has 3 exons. NCBI's taxonomy places the organism in Eukaryota, Viridiplantae, Streptophyta, Magnoliopsida, Magnoliales, Magnoliaceae.